GUGGUAUUUUGCAUGUUGCUCUCUCGGGGGCGGCCGCUGCGGUUUACCGGGCCAGCAUCGGUUUGGAGCGGCAGGAUAAUGGCGGAGGAAUGUGGCACGGCUUCUGCUGUGUGUUAUAGCCUCUGACGAUACUGMCAGCCUAGACCGAGGACUGCGGUUUUUUACCUAGGAUGUUGGCAUAAUGAUCUUAAGUCGCCCGUCUUGAAACACGGACCAAGGAGUCA
This 224-nucleotide ribosomal RNA is filed under the name Candida albicans. RNAcentral describes it as "partial large subunit ribosomal RNA". The record is from RNAcentral. Lineage: Eukaryota; Fungi; Ascomycota; Pichiomycetes; Serinales; Debaryomycetaceae.